CUGCAUAGACCCGAAACCACAGUGAUCUACCCAUGUCCAGGUUGAAGCACAGGUAAAAAUGUGUGGAGGACCGAACCAGUGAGCGUUGAAAAGCUUUUGGAUGAGAUGUGGGUAGGGGUGAAAUGCCAAUCGAACGUGGAGAUAGCUGGUUCUCCCCGAAAUAGCUUUAGGGCUAGCCUCAUGGCGAGAGUACAGGCGGUAGAGCACUGAACGGGGUAGGGGCCUAUCCGGCUACUGAACCUAAUCAAACUGCGAAUGGCUGUACUUAUCCAUGGGAGUCAGACUGUGAGUAAUAAGGCCCAUAGUCAAGAGGGAAACAGCCCAGACCAUCAGCUAAGGUCCCCAAUGCCGUACUAAGUGGCGAAGGAUGUGGAAUUUCGAAAACAACCAGGAUGUUGGCUCAGAAGCAGCCACCAUUAAAAGAGUGCGUAAUAGCUCACUGGUCGAGAGACUCUGCGCCGAAGAUGUCCGGGGCUAAAGUACGGAACCGAAGCUUUGGCAAUUAACAAUAGUUAAUUGGGUAGGGGAGCGUUCCUGCAUGGGAGAAGCCUGACCGGAAGGACAGGUGGACAGGCAGGAAGAGAGAAUGCCGGUAUGAGUAGCGAAAAGAAGGGUGAGAAUCCCUUCCACCGAAAGCCUAAGGGUUCCUGGGCAACGAUCGUCGUCCCAGGGUAAGUCGGGACCUAAUCCGAGGCGGAGACGCGUAGGAGAUGGACAACAGGUUGAAAUUCCUGUACUGGCUGAGGCCGUUUGAGCGAAGGAGUGACACAGGAAGGAAGGCGCGCGUGCGAUUGGAAGAGCACGUCCAAGCAGGUAGGUCGGGAGACAGGCAAAUCCGUUUCCCAUGAGGCCGAGAUGCGAUGGGGAGCUUCUGGAGACAGAAGCGAAGGGGCUGGCACUAAACUGUCGAGAAAAGCUUCUAGUGAGGACUCAGGCACCCGUACCGAAACCGACACAGGUAGGCAGGAUGAGAAUUCUAAGGUGCGCGGGAAAACCCUCGUUAAGGAACUCGGCAAAAUAUAUCCGUAACUUCGGGAAAAGGAUAACCCAGCGUACGUGAAGUGCAGAAGCGCAUGGAGCGGAGAUGGGUGGCAGAAGAGAGGCCCAAGCGACUGUUUACCAUAAACACAGGCGUCUGCUAAAGCGAAAGCUGAUGUAUAGAUGCUGACACCUGCCCGGUGCUGGAAGGUUAAGAGGAAGUGUUAGCGCAAGCGAAGCAGUGAAUUGAAGCCCCAGUAAACGGCGGCCGUAACUAUAACGGUCCUAAGGUAGCGAAAUUCCUUGUCGGGUAAGUUCC
Molecule: ribosomal RNA, 1297 nt
Filed under: human gut metagenome
Description: bacterial LSU rRNA
Rfam family: Bacterial large subunit ribosomal RNA
Source: RNAcentral